CCGAGCGGCGACAGGCAGCGCCUGAGGAGCUCGCGGAGCUUUGAGUUGCCGCCCAGCGCCUCCGCGGGUCACCUGCCCGGCCCAGGCAUUUCAUCUUGAAGGGCUGGCUGCUCUCACACACUUUUAUAUCCGCUGGAGUGAUCGAGAAAUCAUGUCUGGUGGAAGAAGUGAGUUUCUGUGCCUUGGAAUGAUCUUGGGCUUUUGGAGCUCCGUGAGUUGGAUGCCUGUUGGAGGCUGCCCGCAUAAAUGUACGUGCAUUGCUUCCAACGUGGAUUGUCAUGGACUAGGACUCAAAACUGUACCGAGGGAUAUUCCCAGGAAUGCUGAGAGACUGUAAGUAGUAAACGUUAAGGGCUCCUCAAGUACUUAUAGAAACAUCUGGCAUGAAUUUCUCAACACCUGCCUAUCAGUAUGGAGUACAUAGUAACAGCAGCUUAAGUA
This 441-nucleotide long non-coding RNA is filed under the name Gallus gallus (chicken). RNAcentral's name for it is "long non-coding RNA NONGGAT002338". The record is from RNAcentral. Lineage: Eukaryota; Metazoa; Chordata; Aves; Galliformes; Phasianidae.